This is a long non-coding RNA of Homo sapiens (human), 1098 nucleotides long. Lineage: Eukaryota; Metazoa; Chordata; Mammalia; Primates; Hominidae. The record is from Ensembl.
ACACAGAGAUAGCUAAGCAAGUCAUUGUGUUGUCUUCUUGUCUUCUAGUCACAAAUCCAUGCAACAUUUUAUAAAACAAAUAAUCAAAAGGAGGAACUGGAUAAGGAAGAUGUAAUUUCAGCAAAGAAAUGAAAAGUGAUGAUACUGGAAGUGAAAUUUGAAUAGAUGGGGGUAUAGAAGGCAUGGUUGACUAAGAGAAGGAAUGUUGACUACUGCAUGUAUGCAGUCAAGAGGAACUUAAUGACGUCUUUCACCAGUGGACCCCAAAUCCACCACCAGUGAAUCCCAUUAGCCAAAUCCCACUAGAAUAAGCCAACAAGGGAAGUCAAUGCAAUCCAUGAAGGUUGACUGCCUGAGGCCCUGAAGGGGACAGGAGGAGGAAGGAAGGAGUUUGAUUCUGGAGAUUACGGCAAAGAGAAUAAGCAGAAUAACCUAAUAAUAAGACCUUAGUAAUGUACCUGUGUCUCACUGAAUUAUACCCCAGAAGCAAGACUGAAACACAUCUCAAGAUUUGAAACUGUUAUUGAUGAUCAAAAAAUAUUUGCUCCAUUCCUGAGAUAGGAAGCAGCAUCUUCUCCCAAGAUAGGAAACAGUGUCUUGACAGCUUUUUAAGCUAGACAAGAAGACGGUGCAAAGUAAUAUAUGCAAAAAGUGUGGAGUCAAGUGUAUUGUAAAAUGAAGUGCAUAAAUGUGAACAAUGAGAGACUUGAAGCACAGAAGGCUAAAACUACCUUUAACUUCUAAAGAAAUUUUGUGAGAAGCAUCUGAGACUCUUGACAGUUAAAAUCCCUAUCAUUUCAGAAAGUGCAACUGGGGAUCACAUGUAUUUUAAAUAAUUCUAGUUGAGAAUAGUCAAAAGUCGCAUUUAUGAAGGAAGAUUGACAUUUUUAAGCUUCCCAAUGAUUUCAUCAAGCUUAUUUAGUACUCCUAGCCUCAGUUUCUUCACUUGCAAAAUAAGAAUACCAAAAACAGGAGCUUCGUGGAUUAAUUUUAAGAAUUAAAUGGGAAAAUGUUUAUCGACAUUUUAGCACAAGCCUGCUUACAAUAAACAUUUUAAAAAGUUAUCUAUCUUAAUAAAUAUCGAUUAUUUAAAAUGAA